Non-coding RNA from Triticum aestivum (bread wheat), 56 nucleotides. The record is from Rfam. NCBI's taxonomy places the organism in Eukaryota, Viridiplantae, Streptophyta, Magnoliopsida, Poales, Poaceae.
GCUCAGUUGGUAGAGGACAAGACUGUUAACCUUGGGGACGUGGGUUCAAGCCCCAU